Bolinopsis microptera is the source of this 255-nucleotide long non-coding RNA. RefSeq lists it as uncharacterized. The transcript has 2 exons. The record is from RefSeq and is a predicted model, not a curated record. NCBI's taxonomy places the organism in Eukaryota, Metazoa, Ctenophora, Tentaculata, Lobata, Bolinopsidae.
AGUAGUCAUGGAUGAGACCCAGAAGAAGCUGGCUAAAGUAACCAAGAUUCUUGGAAGGACUGGAUCACAGGACAAUGUACUCAGGUCAAAGUUGAGUUCUUGGACGAUAACACAAGAAGCAUCAUCCGAAAUGUGAAGGGACCAGUAAGGGAGGGUGACAUCCUCACACUGCUCGAGUCAGAGAGAGAAGCUAGGAGGCUUAGAUGAUCCGGACUCUUGAUGAUGGACAUUCUUAGAUAGUUUUUAAUUUAUCAA